This 1347-nucleotide ribosomal RNA is filed under the name metagenome. Its description in RNAcentral is "bacterial LSU rRNA". It matches the Rfam family "Bacterial large subunit ribosomal RNA", at positions 1564 to 2925 of the family's 2925-position model. The record is from RNAcentral.
UGAGUACGAGCUGCUACGGCAGCGAAGUGGGUGAUGUCAUGCUUCCAAGAAAAGCCCUAUACCCGUUAAGGCAUGAUGGCCUGUACCCGAAACCGACACAGGUGGGGUGGUAGAGAAUACCGAGGGGCGCGAGGUAACUCUCUCUAAGGAACUCGGCAAAAUGGCCCCGUAACUUCGGGAGAAGGGGUGCCACCGCAAGGUGGUCGCAGUGAAGAGGCCCAGGCGACUGUUUACCAAAAACACAGGUCUCCGCUAAGUCGCAAGACGAUGUAUGGGGGCUGACGCCUGCCCAGUGCCGGAAGGUUAAGGAAGCUGGUCAGCGUAAGCGAAGCUAGCGACUGAAGCCCCGGUGAACGGCGGCCGUAACAAUAACGGUCCUAAGGUAGCGAAAUUCCUUGUCGGGUAAGUUCCGACCCGCACGAAAGGCGUAACGAUCUGGGCGCUGUCUCGGAGAGAGGCUCGGCGAAAUAGAAUUGUCUGUGAAGAUGCGGACUACGUGCACCCGGACAGAAAGACCCUAUGAAGCUUUACUGUAGCUUGGUAUUGUGCUCGGGCUCGGAACGCGCAGGAUAGGUGGGAGGCUAUGAACCAUUGCUUGCGGGUGAUGGUGAGCCACUGGUGAGAUACCACUCUUUCCGAGCUAGAGUUCUAACAGCCACCCGUUAUCCGGGGGCUGGACAGUAUCAGGUGGGCAGUUUGGCUGGGGCGGUCGCCUCCUAAAAGGUAACGGAGGCGCGCAAAGGUUUGCUCAGGCUGGUUGGAAAUCAGCCGACGAGUGUAAAAGCAGAAGCAAGCUUGACUGUGAGACCUACAAGUCGAACAGGGAGGAAACUCGGCUUUAGUGAUCCGACGGUUCUGCGUGGAAGGGCCGUCGCUCAACGGAUAAAAGUUACUCUAAGGAUAACAGGCUGAUCUCCCCCAAGAGUUCACAUCGACGGGGAGGUUUGGCACCUCGAUGUCGGCUCAUCGCAACCUGGGGCUGAAGUCGGUCCCAAGGGUUGGGCUGUUCGCCCAUUAAAGCGGUACGCGAGCUGGGUUCAGAACGUCGUGAGACAGUUCGGUCCAUAUCCGGUGCAUGCGCAGGAAUAUUGAGAGGAUUUCUCCCUAGUACGAGAGGACCGGGAGGAACGCACCUCUGGUGUACCAGUUAUCGUGCCAACGGUAAACGCUGGGUAGCCAUGUGCGGAGAGGAUAACCGCUGAAAGCAUCUAAGUGGGAAGCCCACCUCAAGAUGAGUAUUCCCAUGGGGUAACCCAGUAAGGUCACGGGAAGAACACCCGUUGAUAGGCUCUACGUGGAAGCGCAGUAAUGUGUGAAGCGGAGGAGUACUAAUAGACCGAGGGCUUG